AUGCUGCUCUGCAACUUUUUGGGGGGUCUUGAAUGUGAUCUACUAUUUGCGGGUAGGAAAUCUUUGUUGGUGCAUAGGACUGGAGGCAAAAGUGGUAGCAGCAGCAAUUAUUAUCGCCGGCCAGCCGUGGGAGUGGAAGUGGGUGGCGCGAGACAAACGAGCGCUUUGUCCUCACGUGACCUCACCUCGCUUUUCCCACUAUUAUAA
RNAcentral lists this ribosomal RNA (207 nucleotides) under Triticum aestivum (bread wheat). Its description in RNAcentral is "partial small subunit ribosomal RNA". Lineage: Eukaryota; Viridiplantae; Streptophyta; Magnoliopsida; Poales; Poaceae. The record is from RNAcentral.